This 931-nucleotide long non-coding RNA is filed under the name Sorghum bicolor (sorghum). RNAcentral's name for it is "long non-coding RNA (SBIC_LNC006968)". The record is from RNAcentral. Lineage: Eukaryota; Viridiplantae; Streptophyta; Magnoliopsida; Poales; Poaceae.
CAUGGGACUUGUAACCGUCACUUCCGUCUUGAGUAGUUAAAAGAUAGAACAGUCUAGCCAAGUGCCAUGUCUCUUAUUCUUGAUCAGCUAUAGCUCUGGAGUUUUUGCAGAUUUUCAAAUAAAACUCAGAGCUUGCUUUGUAUGACUCUCUCAUAUCUCUCUUUUGUGGUAUUUCUGGAUCCUUACCAAGACAGUGAUGGUUUAUGCUUUCUCUCAUUGCCUUCUCUCUCAUCCUACUCUAAUAAGGCUUUAAUAUCUGGAGCUCAUAGGUGAGAGAUAAAGUAUACAUACUUACAAGACAUUUAUUGCAUAGUCAAACCAUGGAUCCAAAGAAACAAAUCAAUAAGUCAAAUCAAGAUGUGCAUGUGUGACGAAUGAAUGGUGUAUGGUGAUGAUGGUGAUAAUGGUGAAAGUCUAAUUCUGCUUUGCUCUUUUGAGGGGAUACAUACCUUCCUUGCUUUCUGAAACUUUAUGAGGAGAAUGAGAUGCUCUUCUUUUUCUUUUUCUUUUUCUUUCCUCUCACGUGGGUAUCUUGUACCCCUUAUUGACGGUCCUUAAGUAUCAAAUUUAAUUAUCAAAUAAAUAAAGAAAAGGAUCCAAAUGAAAUCAAGAUCUAGACUUAGGGUUUUAUCUGACAGAAUUCCACGAGUUUUGGUGUUUGUCUAAUUCUGCAGGGGGUUAUCAGGAAAUAUGGAAGAAAGGCCCACAUGUCAGGAUUACGUAAAGAUAUUAACGUGCUGCGCAAUUAUCUUACAUCUAGAAGACUCCAGAAGCCACGAGACCGAAGCGGAGGCGAAACGGGGCCAGAGGCAGGGCGCCCGCCCUGUCCUACUGGGCGCCCGCCCCUGUCCAAGUCCAAUUAGGACUCUACUUUGCGGGAAGUCUCCACCGACCUAAAGGAUAAAUCUAAACCAUACAAUCUAUGUCGGUU